Molecule: long non-coding RNA, 520 nt
Organism: Nicotiana attenuata
Lineage: Eukaryota; Viridiplantae; Streptophyta; Magnoliopsida; Solanales; Solanaceae
Exons: 4
Source: RefSeq, a predicted model, not a curated record
UCACAAAUCAGAAUUCCCUCCCUUACUCUCCUUCUAAUAAACCCUAAUCGUUGUAGUUCCUCUCUACCUCUCCGUGCGGUGCUUUGACAGACCAUCAUAGCCGGUGAUUCUCUCUCUUUUCUCAUCUCUUAUUCUCUCCUUUCUUACUCCUCUUCUCGUCGGUGAUUCGAAUCACGGAAAGCAACAGCGAAGCAGUUGGUCUACAAUCAAGCUAUGAUGGAGUUCGCGAACCUCUGUCGCAGCCUCAAUGAUCUCAACUCUCAACUUCAAACAAAGUUUAUCCAGGUUAUACAGGGACAUACAACAUUUGAACAGUUGAUGAGAAGGAAUGAAGAACUUCAACAAAUUAGCUAGAGAAUUCACUCAAUGCCUCCAAAUUAUUGAUGUCAUCACAUUUUGGAAAUAGCUGGCCAAGAAGAUCAUCGUAUUGGAGUAAUUAACAAUGCGGCUCACGCGAGUGCUCAUUGAUCAUUGUUUCUGUAAUAGAUUUUGCCUUUUUGUCCGGUUAUCUAGAUUUUAC